Molecule: ribosomal RNA, 438 nt
Filed under: uncultured bacterium
Lineage: Bacteria
Description: bacterial SSU rRNA
Rfam family: Bacterial small subunit ribosomal RNA
Source: RNAcentral
AUACGGGAGGCAGCAGUGGGGAAUCUUGCACAAUGGGGGAAACCCUGAUGCAGCGACGCCGCGUGAGCGAUGAAGCCCUUCGGGGUGUAAAGCUCUUUCGGCAGGGAAGAUGAUGACGGUACCUGCAGAAGCAGCUGCGGCUAACUACGUGCCAGCAGCCGCGGUAAUACGUAGGCAGCGAGCGUUGUUCGGAGUUACUGGGCGUAAAGGGUGUGUAGGCGGUCCUUUAAGUUUGGUGUGAAAUCUCCCGGCUCAACUGGGAGGGUGCGCCGGAUACUGAGGGGCUGGAGUGCGGGAGAGGAGAGUGGAAUUCCUGGUGUAGCGGUGAAAUGCGUAGAUAUCAGGAGGAACACCGGCGGUGUAAACGGCUCUCUGGACCGCAACUGACGCUGAGACACGAAAGCGUGGGGAGCAAACAGGAUUAGAUACCCUGGUAGU